AGAGAGAGAAUAACUUCUUUCAAGGCUAGCAAGUAUAAAGCCAGCUUUCUAAAACAGUUUUGUUUCUCCCUGAAGUCUAUGCUCUUAACUACUAUAACUUCUGCCUCCCCAAAUUCACUUAGAUUCUUCAAUUCAACCAAUAUUCACCAGAACCUUCUAACGGAAGGAUGAGGUAGUUGCUACGGAAACACAGGAUAAGACACAGUCCAUAUCCUUAGAUCUAAAAGGAAAGGCAGGAUUUUCACAUGCCAAACCAAGAACAAAGACUACAGUAUAUGAGUUCUUGGAGACAUGAGGGAUCUUUCAAGAGACAAUGCAAGUAUUGAUGAUGGGGAAGCAAAGAUGAAAUGCUUUAUGCUCAGCUCCACAAAUCCUGCCGUGGUUCGGUGCAACUGUGGGUUAUACACCAUGGAGCAGUAAGUAAAAUGUGGACCCAUGAACUAAGUAAAACUUUGGGGAAGAAUGAAGUCAAGAAGGGUUUGAAUACCUGGUCACUUCAAGGUGCUUGAAGGAAGAGGAGAGUUUGUAUGGAUCUAGGGAGAAAGAAGAAUAUUCCAGAAGAGGGAAAUGAUGUAAGGUGAAGUACUAAGAAUAAACAUGAGCUGUGUCCUG
Panthera uncia (snow leopard) is the source of this 612-nucleotide long non-coding RNA. RefSeq lists it as uncharacterized. Lineage: Eukaryota; Metazoa; Chordata; Mammalia; Carnivora; Felidae. The transcript is spliced from 2 exons. The record is from RefSeq and is a predicted model, not a curated record.